Molecule: ribosomal RNA, 430 nt
Filed under: uncultured bacterium
Lineage: Bacteria
Description: bacterial SSU rRNA
Rfam family: Bacterial small subunit ribosomal RNA
Source: RNAcentral
GUAGGGAAUAUUGGGCAAUGGGCGAAAGCCUGACCCAGCGACGCCGCGUGAGGGAUGAAGGUCUUCGGAUUGUAAACCUCUUUCAGUAGGGAAGAAGCGAAAGUGACGGUACCUAAAGAAGAAGCACCGGCUAACUAUGUGCCAGCAGCCGCGGUAAUACAUAGGGUGCAAGCGUUGUCCGGAAUUAUUGGGCGUAAAGAGCUCGUAGGUCGUUUGUCGCGUCGAUUGUGAAAAUCUGAGGCUCAACCUCAGACCUGCAGUCGAUACGGGCAAACUAGAGUGUGGUAGGGGAGACUGGAAUUCCUGGUGUAGCGGUGGAAUGCGCAGAUAUCAGGAGGAACACCAAUGGCGAAGGCAGGUCUCUGGGCCAUAACUGACACUGAGGAGCGAAAGUGCGGGGAGCGAACAGGAUUAGAAACCCCGGUAGUCC